This 656-nucleotide long non-coding RNA is filed under the name Rattus norvegicus (Norway rat). Its description in RNAcentral is "long non-coding RNA NONRATT019649". The record is from RNAcentral. Lineage: Eukaryota; Metazoa; Chordata; Mammalia; Rodentia; Muridae.
AGCUAACUGUGAUCUUCAGGUUCAGUGAGAGAGGUUGUGUCUCAAAAGAAUAGGGUAGAGAGAGAUGCAGAGGAAGGGCACACACAGUGAUUGUGUGAGUGCAGAGUUGCCAUGCCCCAGGCCAUGAGAACCUGCCUCACAGAAACAAAUGUGGUUGUUUUCUGAGGAAGGACACCUCAGGUUUUUGUCUGAGAACACGAAGGCUUGCACACGUGCACAUGUGCAUACAUGAACACAUGCAUGCAUAUCACACACAUGCACAGGAAGCUCCCAUAGCUAUAACUUGUCAAAUGCCUUUGCUAGUAAGGCAUAAGUAAUGACCUGGUAGGUAAUGUGUUGAGUGAAGGUGGUGAGAACAUGCAUGUAAGUGGUACCAUGUUUCUACUCUGUGUCUGAGUAAGUGUGUUACAAAGUUUGGAAAAGAAAGCCCCCAUCUACCUUGCCCUUGUGCCUGUUUUCCUUCCAUAUCAAAACCUAGAUCCUCUUCUCAUUCUUAGGAAUGGCUAUUGAGCUAGCCAGGUGUGCCUUUAAUUCCAGCACUUAGGAGGCUGAAGCAGCAGAUCCCAGUCACUUGAAGGCUAUCCUGGUUUUCAAAGCAAGGCCCAGGACAUCCAGGGCUACACAGAGAAACCCUGUCUCAAAAACAAAACAAAAAA